CUGCUCCAGUCCGCGCUGGCUCCCUGACUUGAGAGUACUUAUCGGGAAGGACGCAAUUUCUUUUUCAGGAAAGGGAGAGAGGAAAACAGUGGGGGUCGAUUCGUCUCCGUCUGGAGGGAUCACACGAUGAAACCGGCUUCAAGCGUCAUGCAACGUCCCAGGGGCCCCACGGGAAGGUUCAUUCCUUGGUUCGUGCUGCCCCCUGGACACGUGCCUUCCUCCAGUCCACGUGCUCAGCUCUUUGCCUGAUGAAGGCUGUUUGCCCUUCCAAACUGCCAUCUCUUAGGCGAAGUCGACCCCCUACCCCACCCUUCCCGCCCCCGCCGCCUCUCCCAACCCUCAGGCCUCAGCUUCUUGCAUUGGCAUUGGAGGCUAUCCUUAUCUGCUUCCUACCAUCUCCAGCCUGGCGCAAGCUGCUCAAAGUCAAGCUUUCCCCACGCCUGGUUUAGCAGGCCCAAGGCCAGUGUUUGAUAAACUACGCUAAAAAAUCAUGUGGACUCGGAGAAUGGAACAAAAGUGAUUUAUAAGUGAUGACAAACCAUCCUUCUGAUCUCAAUUGAAUGUACCUAGAAGCUUUUGGAUCAAAAGUAUCAAGUGGGCAACCUUGUGUGAGCGCCUUUCCGUCCUCUUGCUCAUCUGCAGCCCAAAGCCUGGCAAACUGUUAACCCCUCGCCAUGUCUCUGCACCUUCCUUUGAACUGUUUUUUAUUCAUUGCUGCUGUGUUUUGGUUUUUCUGAGAUUUUUUUGUUGUUUUUCUUUUUUUUUCUGCUUUUUUUAGGGCUCUACCCCCCUGCAUAUGGAAGUUCCCAGGCUAGGGUUCCAAUCCCAGCUACAGCUGCUGGCCUACACCACAGCCACAGCAACACCAGAUCUGGGUCUCAUCUUCGACCUACACCACCGCUCAUGGCAACGCCGGAUUCUUAACCCACUGAGCAAGGCCAGGGAUCGAAGCCAUAUCCUCAUGAAUCCUAGGGGGGUUGGUCGACCACUGAGCCAUGAAGGGAACUCCUAUUCUGGGUAUUUCUAUAAGAGCCUUUUUGGUUGUGAUAAACAUUUUUUUUUUUUUUUUUUGUAUUUAACUCUUCCUAUUUUAUUUUAUUUUUUAUUUUUAAAAAAUUUUUUUAUUUUCCCACUGUACAGCAAGGGGGUCAGGUUAUCCUUACAUGUAUACAUUACAAUUACAUUUUUUCCCCCACCCUUUGUUCUGUUGCAACAUGAGUAUCUAGACAUAGUUCUCAAUGCUAUUCAGCAGGAUCUCCUUGUAAAUCUAUUCUAAGUUGUGUCUGAUAAGCCCAAGCUCCCGAUCCCUCCCACUCCCUCCCCCUCCCAUCAGGCAGCCACAAGUCUCUUCUCCAAGUCCAUGAUUUUCUUUUCUGAGGAGAUGUUCAUUUGUGCUGGAUAUUAGAUUCCAGUUAUAAGUGAUAUCAUAUGGUAUUUGUCUUUGUCUUUCUGGCUCAUUUCACUCAGUAUGAGAUUCUCUAGUUCCAUCCAUGUUGCUGCAAAUGGCAUUAUGUCAUUCUUUUUUAUGGCUGAGUAGUAUUCCAUUGUGUAUAUAUACCACAUCUUCCGAAUCCAAUCAUCUGUCGAUGGACAUUUGGGUUGUUUCCAUGUCCUGGCUAUUGUGAAUAGUGCUGCAAUGAACAUGCGGGUGCAUGUGUCUCUUUUAAGUAGAGUUUUGUCCGGAUAGAUGCCCAAGAGUGGGAUUGCGGGGUCAUAUGGAAGUUCUAUGUAUAGAUUUCUAAGGUAUCUCCAAACUGUUCUCCAUAGUGGCUGUACCAGUUUACAUUCCCACCAACAGUGCAGGAGGGUUCCCUUUUCUCCACAGCCCCUCCAGCACUUGUUAUUUGUGGAUUUAUUAAUGAUGGCCAUUCUGACUGGUGUGAGGUGGUAUCUCAUGGUAGUUUUGAUUUGCAUUUCUCUUAUAAUCAGCGAUGUUGAGCAUUUUUUCAUGUGUUUGUUGGCCAUCUGUAUAUCUUCUUUGGAGAAAUGUCUAUUCAGGUCUUUUGCCCAUUUUUCCAUUGAUUGAUUGGUUUUUUUGCUGUUGGGUUGUAUAAGUUGCUUAUAUAUUCUAGAGAUUAAGCCCUUGUCAGUUGCAUCAUUUGAAACUAUUUUCUCCCAUUCUGUAAGUUGUCUUUUUGUUUUCUUUUGGGUUUCCUUUGCUGUGCAAAAGCUUUUCAGUUUGAUGAGGUCCCAUGGGUUUAUUUUUGCUCUAAUUUCUAUUGCUUUGGGAGACUGACCUGAGAAAAUAUUCAUGAUGUUGAUGUCAGAGAGUGUUUUGCCUAUGUUUUCUUCUAGGAGUUUGAUGGUGUCCUGUCGUAUAUUUAAGUCUUUCAGCCAUUUGGAGUUUAUUUUUGUGCAUGGUGUGAGGGUGUUUCCUAUUUGACCCCUAGCCUGGGAACCUCCAUAUGCUGUGAGUAUGGCCCUAAAAAGCAAUAAAUAAAUGAAUAAAUAAAUAAAUAAAAAGACUGAGGGAAGCAGAUUGCCUGCCCCAGUGUGGGUGGGCCUCAUCUAAUCAGCUGAAGGCCUGGAUAGACCAAAAGGGUGACAAAUGAGCGAAGGAACACCUCCUGCCCAGCAGCUGAGCUGGGACAGCAACCUUUUCCUGCCUUCGUAAUUGAACUGAAACUUGGGCCCCGGGGUCUGGAGUCACCAGCUCUCACACUGAAACUGCACUGGGUCUCCAGGUUGUCGGCUGCUGCUAAUCACGAGUCUCUUCCUUUCUCUCUAGACUUCCUCUUGGUUCUGAUUCCCUGGGGAGCCCUGACUCAUACAGGACCUCAAGGAAGAUGCGUCAAUGGUGAGUGUCAGGCUGAAUGACUAGGAAAACAUCAGCAUAUAGAACAGAAAUAAGGAAAUCCGAUCAAGGAAGUGGCUGGUUUGGGGAAUUGUUUUUCAUUCAGAAAUACUUAUUUAGUAUGUUCCCAGAUAAAGCACCGGUGGUCGGCGAUUAAAAGAUCCACCAGGGAGUUUCCUGGUGGCUCAGUGGGUUAAGGAUCUGGCAUUGUCACUGCCAAAGUUCAGGUCAUUGCUGUGGUGCAGCUUUGAUCCUUGGCCUGGAAACUUUCACAUUCCUCUGAAGCAGUUCAAAUAAUAAAUAAAUAGAUAAAUAGUCCAUCAGUUGCCUAAACUAGAGGCCAGAUCCAUCCUUGCCUCUGUCUUCAGCCACAGUCUCAGUGUGGAAUUAAGCGAAAGGUCUGUAAUUUUACCUUCCUGAAUUGCUCUCCACUGUACUUCCUUGGCAGACAGCAGGGCUGUCAUUAGAAUCGUCAUCCUUCUCACCCUUUUAGAUCCACAACAGUUAGUAAGCAUUUCACUUAGGGUUCAGGAGGCUCAUGGACAUAUUUGAGGCAUUUGAAAUUUACUCUGUGUGAAAUUAAGAAAUAUAAGAAUUCCCACUGUGGCUCAGUGGGUUAAGAACCUAACUAGUGUCUGUGAGGAUGCGAGCUCAAACCCUGGCCUCCCUCAGUGGGUUAAGGAUCUGAUGUUCCCAUCAGCUGUGGCAUAAGUCACAGAUGAGGCUUGGAUCUAGUGUUGCUCUGGCUGUGGCUGUGGUGUAGCAGCUGCAGCUACAGUUCUGAUUCGACCCUUGGCCUGGGAACUUCGCAGC
Molecule: long non-coding RNA, 3607 nt
Filed under: Sus scrofa (pig)
Lineage: Eukaryota; Metazoa; Chordata; Mammalia; Artiodactyla; Suidae
Description: lncRNA (ENSSSCG00040074660.1)
Source: RNAcentral